RNAcentral lists this ribosomal RNA (253 nucleotides) under uncultured bacterium. RNAcentral's name for it is "partial 16S ribosomal RNA". It matches the Rfam family "Bacterial small subunit ribosomal RNA", at positions 524 to 776 of the family's 1533-position model. The record is from RNAcentral.
UACGUAGGGGGCAAGCGUUGUCCGGAAUCAUUGGGCGUAAAGAGCGUGUAGGCGGCCCGAUAAGUCCGCCGUGAAAGUCCAGGGCUCAACCCUGGAAUGCCGGUGGAAACUGUCGGGCUAGAGUCCGGAAGAGGCGAGUGGAAUUCCUGGUGUAGCGGUGAAAUGCGCAGAUAUCAGGAGGAACACCAAUGGCGAAGGCAGCUCGCUGGGACGGUACUGACGCUGAGACGCGAAAGCGUGGGGAGCAAACAGG